RNAcentral lists this long non-coding RNA (1007 nucleotides) under Homo sapiens (human). RNAcentral's name for it is "HSALNT0362246". Lineage: Eukaryota; Metazoa; Chordata; Mammalia; Primates; Hominidae. The record is from RNAcentral.
CUCGGCCUACCAGCCCGGGGGCUCCGAGGCUCGCGCCGGAGGCGGGGCAUCGCCGCGCCGGCCGCCAACGGCCACUGCAACGGUCCCUACCGGGGAGGGCCGGCUUUUGCCGGCUUCCGGAGAAGGGAGGAAAGAGAGAGGUUUACCUAACACUGUAAAGAGAACGUUCAAUGAAAUACAAAGAAAAAGAUGAUUUUUUUGCUCCAAGAGAAUUAUUCCAGCCUUGGGGUGGAGUGGGUGUGGACAGUGAGCAGAAAAACAAGAAACCAAGUUCUGGGAGGAAAUAAAAUGAAUAUAAUCAGUGGAAAAUUCAGCAACGCAAUAUUGUGUGACAACAGUAAAUGACCAAUUUAUAAUUUAAAUUCUAUGAAAAAGAGAUUUAGAAGAGAGUUCUACCAAACCCACUGUUCCCUAGGGAAUAAAAUGAGUAACGCUGACUGGCAACAGUGCAUCCUGAGGGAGCCUGGAGAAACAACAGCAGCCUCCGACCUCAAGAUAUCCUGGUAGUGCUGUGACAGUGUCUUAAGUAGGGCAUGUUGAUAGAUGGAAAAGGACGGCAAACUCGAGGUGCUGAUUCAGGAAGAAGCAGAUUCCAAGAUGGAAGAGAAAAUAUCGAGAGAAAUAUGCCGAGAGAAGAAUCCAGGCAGAAUGGAAUCCAGGCAGAAUGGUGAAUGGAAGGUUCGGGUGACCAAGAGAAAGGAAGGGUGACUCAGCAAGUCUGUAGUUUCAGCUCUUGUAUAGUACGUUAUACUUGAAAAGCUGAAGCCUUUUCUCGGGGAAGAGUCAGAACGGCCUGGAGGGCUUGCUAAAGCGCUGCUGGCUGGGCCCCGCCCGCUGAAUGACUAAUGGAGACUCUGAGGGCCGGCUGGUAAUUUGAGUUUCUAACAAGCCCUGUUUCGAUGCUGGUACAGCCGAUCUAGGGAAAAUAUUGGAACAAGGAAAAAACUAAGAAGAAAUUUUAAAAAGUAAUCAAAGGCGGCCAAGUGAGGUGGCUCACGCCUGUGAUC